UUAUGGACUGGAAGCAACGAGCAAUAUUAUAGCAAUUAUUCUUUUAAAGUUUCAUUAGAUAGAAAUUGGGUUUUUUGGUCUGGAUCCUUUAGAGCAGUUUUGAGAUGUAAAAUAGGAAAGAGAAGAAAAGAGAGAGAUUUUGGCUAUGAAAAACAGACUACAUUUAAUGGCUCAACAAUGGUGCUAGUUUGAACUAGGUUAUGCAACAUGGCUAGGUCUAUGCAUAACAGGACAUGGCCAGCAACCAUUUUGUGAAAACAAGAACUGCCCCUUACCUCUUUAAUUUAAGCAGCCUCAUUGAUCGAAAUACCCUUAUUCUUCUGCAUAUGCAUGUUGUUCCAGUUGCUAAUGUAUGUAGGAUUUUUACCCUUCUACAUUUUCCCCAAAAAAAAUUGAGAAAUAUUUUCAGGGGACAUAUGUAAACCUUAAAACAUAUUAAGGAAAACAUAUAGUAACUUGAAGAUGAUAAAACAAGGCUUUCAAGAUUAUAUUUAUGUAAACCCAUGACACAAGUCAGAAAAAAAAAAAAAAAAAAAAGAAGAAGGCAGAAGCAAGAUUUUUAGCUAUCCAUACCUCUUAAGCAAGUAUUUCAAACAACCUACUGCAAAAAAGAAAACAGAAUAUGCUAGACACUAUAUUUUUGGAGGGCUUGAGUCCAAAUUAGUCUUCAAACUCAAAAUAGUAUAUGCCUUCGCCCUCUAAGUUUCACUAAUCAUCAUAAAACAAAACAUUAUUUUUCCCAGUUGGUUCAAAGUAAUAUUGUAAUCAACAACACAUCCAUUUUAUAGAGUCAGAUCAAGUGCAGUGAAUAAAAUUAGGCUUAACACAUGCCUCUCGUGUAGUAAUUAAUAACAAAUGAUUAUUCUUUACAAUUCUUAAUUAUAUAUGCCCUAAUUGAUCAUAAAACCAUUUCAAAUCAACAAAAUUUUAUCCUAGAAGCUAAUGGAAUUACCUUUCAUAAAAUCCAAGCAACUAGUGAUCAUCACAUAAAGCCGAAAUGGUUUGUUAAAAAAGAAAAAAAAGUGGCUGGAAGAGAUUUUAAAGGAUUUCCAAGACUUGGAAAACAAUGAAUCAGACUCAAAGCAUUAAACAUAGCAAAUGAAAUAACUACUGGGUAAGUGCGCAAGUGAAUGAUUUCACAUUUGACACAGAAUCCACAUCAAAUGGACAACAGGGCACUCAUAUCAAAUACAAG
This 1195-nucleotide long non-coding RNA is filed under the name Prunus persica (peach). RNAcentral describes it as "long non-coding RNA (PPER_LNC004429)". The record is from RNAcentral. Lineage: Eukaryota; Viridiplantae; Streptophyta; Magnoliopsida; Rosales; Rosaceae.